UGCCCAACUGACCUCAGAUCGCCUUUUCCAUUUGCUAAGAGGUGCUGUUUCCUUUUUUUUUAAUAGGUUUUGGUCACAAGAGAUCCAGCGUUCAAGAAGGCACCCACUCACCCCUGCAUCGGGUGUCCUGGGGCCGGACUGGGCAGUGAUUUCACGCACGUCGUCUUCUUCAGAUCGCUGGUGGACAUAUGUGACACCCCUCUGUCCUUUGGCAUUGCGUUCCUUUGCAUCGAGGUGUUCCAUUAGGUUUGCUGGGAUGGGAAACCUGCUCAAAGUCCUUACCAGGGAAAUUGAAAACUAUCCACAUUUUUUCCUGGAUUUUGAAAACCCAGGUCCUGUCUUCUGUAGAAGGAUUCAUCAUGCUGGUGGGACCCCCAGUGCCUGCCCCGUUCCUGUGGUGGACCAGUCUGAAGAGCACUUUGAUUUGACAGCCUUCACAGGCUUCUUUUCCCCAGUUCUUGGGACAUCAUCAUCUUUGAUGCUGUGGAUCAGAAUGGAGACCCUGGUUCCAAAGAGCUCAGGAUUCAAAGAUAAGCAGAAAAGCCAUCGCAAGACACACUGAGAAGUAUAUCUAAGCUAUCCUUCCAACUAUUUAUUCA
RNAcentral lists this long non-coding RNA (599 nucleotides) under Dasypus novemcinctus (nine-banded armadillo). RNAcentral describes it as "lncRNA (ENSDNOG00000051388.1)". The record is from RNAcentral. Lineage: Eukaryota; Metazoa; Chordata; Mammalia; Cingulata; Dasypodidae.